GCAUUCACUGGUGUGAUGAUGUGU
RNAcentral lists this non-coding RNA (24 nucleotides) under Arabidopsis thaliana (thale cress). Lineage: Eukaryota; Viridiplantae; Streptophyta; Magnoliopsida; Brassicales; Brassicaceae. The record is from RNAcentral.